CGGACGGGUGAGUAAUGUCUGGGAAACUGCCCGAUGGAGGGGGAUAACUACUGGAAACGGUAGCUAAUACCGCAUAACGUCGCAAGACCAAAGAGGGGACCUUAGGGCCUCUUGCCAUCGGAUGUGCCCAGAUGGGAUUAGCUAGUAGGUGGGUAACGGCUCACCUAGGCGACGAUCCCUAGCUGGUCUGAGAGGAUGACCAGCCACACUGGAACUGAGACACGGUCCAG
Molecule: ribosomal RNA, 230 nt
Filed under: uncultured bacterium
Lineage: Bacteria
Description: partial 16S ribosomal RNA
Rfam family: Bacterial small subunit ribosomal RNA
Source: RNAcentral